RNAcentral lists this ribosomal RNA (402 nucleotides) under uncultured bacterium. RNAcentral describes it as "bacterial SSU rRNA". It matches the Rfam family "Bacterial small subunit ribosomal RNA", at positions 29 to 458 of the family's 1533-position model. The record is from RNAcentral.
AACGAACGCUGGCGGCAUGCCUAACACAUGCAAGUCGAACGAGACCUUCGGGUCUAGUGGCGCACGGGUGCGUAACGCGUGGGAACCUGCCCUCAGGUUCGGAAUAACGUCGGGAAACUGACGCUAAUACCGGAUAAUGUCUUCGGACCAAAGAUUUAUUGCCUGAGGAUGGGCCCGCGUUGGAUUAGCUAGUUGGUGGGGUAAAGGCUCACCAAGGCGACGAUCCAUAGCUGGUCUUAGAGGAUGAUCAGCCACACUGGGACUGAGACACGGCCCAGACUCCUACGGGAGGCAGCAGUGGGGAAUAUUGGACAAUGGGCGAAAGCCUGAUCCAGCAAUGCCGCGUGAGUGAUGAAGGCCUUAGGGUUGUAAAGCUCUUUUACCAGGGAUGAUAAUGACAGU